UACGUAGGUGGCAAGCGGUUUCCGGAUUUACUGGGCGUAAAGAGCGCGCAGGCGGUCGAAUAAGGCGAAUGUGAAAGCCCCCGGCUCAACUGGGGAGGGUCACUCGAUACUGAUCGACUUGAAGGCAGGAGAGGGAAGCGGAAUUCCCGGUGUAGUGGUGAAAUGCGUAGAUAUCGGGAGGAACACCAGUGGCGAAGGCGGCUUCCUGGCCUGCUCUUGACGCUGAGGCGCGAAAGCUAGGGUAGCAAACGGG
RNAcentral lists this ribosomal RNA (253 nucleotides) under uncultured bacterium. RNAcentral describes it as "partial 16S ribosomal RNA". It matches the Rfam family "Bacterial small subunit ribosomal RNA", at positions 524 to 776 of the family's 1533-position model. The record is from RNAcentral.